RNAcentral lists this transfer RNA (70 nucleotides) under Ditrema temminckii (Temminck's surfperch). Its description in RNAcentral is "tRNA-Gly". It matches the Rfam family "tRNA". Rfam says of the family: Transfer RNA (tRNA) molecules are approximately 80 nucleotides in length. Their secondary structure includes four short double-helical elements and three loops (D, anti-codon, and T loops). The record is from RNAcentral. Lineage: Eukaryota; Metazoa; Chordata; Actinopteri; Embiotocidae.
AUCUUUUUAGUAUUAAACAGUACAAGUGACUUCCAAUCACUUAGUCUUGGUUAAACCCCAAGAAAAGAUA